UGAAAUUUUUGCUCCUUUUGAAUCAACUUCUUCACAACUCCAUUCCCCUGAAUGAUCGAGGGAGAUGGUCUCCUCGUUAGCUACACUCUUCUUGUUCUUUCCUAGUUCCCUGUCAUCACCCUAAUAAACUUCAAUUCCAUAGUUUCUGUCUUUUAUAUCUUCAUCAUUCUUCUCAUCAUUCUUGAGAACCCUCGCUUAUACUAGACAUAUGAGGAAGA
Molecule: unclassified non-coding RNA, 218 nt
Filed under: Hevea brasiliensis (rubber tree)
Lineage: Eukaryota; Viridiplantae; Streptophyta; Magnoliopsida; Malpighiales; Euphorbiaceae
Source: RNAcentral